UAGUAUCCUAUCAUAGAGAUGUAUUAAUUAAGUGCUGCUGCUCAGGACAUCAAAAAUCUGCCCAGCACUGCUAGCCGUCAAGUAGCUCCAAGCCCCCAGGAUUGAAUCCAAUGGGCAAGGCAAAUGUGACCACAAGCUACAGGAACUUGAGAUGGGUGACAAGGCUACUGAGCAGAAGCUCAGAUCUGAAAAAAACCAUCCUCUGAUCAAUAGGCAGAUGAAAAAGUUGUCAACAGAGCAGUGAAAUAUUCUGUCUUUUUAGCACAAACAUAUCCAAAUAAGAUUUCUCUUUAUUUACAUUA
Molecule: long non-coding RNA, 302 nt
Organism: Ornithorhynchus anatinus (platypus)
Lineage: Eukaryota; Metazoa; Chordata; Mammalia; Monotremata; Ornithorhynchidae
Exons: 3
Source: RefSeq, a predicted model, not a curated record